GGCCUCGUAGCUCAGCUGGUAGAGCAUGCGCGUACAAAGUGUAAGCGUCGUCCAUGCGUGGGUUCGAAUCCCACCGAGGCUA
Non-coding RNA from Echinostoma caproni, 82 nucleotides. The record is from Rfam. NCBI's taxonomy places the organism in Eukaryota, Metazoa, Platyhelminthes, Trematoda, Plagiorchiida, Echinostomatidae.